UACGAGGGGGGCUAGUGUUGUUCGGAAUCACUGGGCGUAAAGGGCUCGUAGGCGGCCAACUAAGUCAGACGUGAAAUCCCCAGGCUCAACCUGGGAACUGCGUCUGAUACUGGAUGGCUUGAAUCCGGGAGAGGGAUGCAGAAUUCCAGGUGUAGCGGUGAAAUGCGUAGAUAUCUGGAGGAACACCAGUGGCGAAAGCGGCCUCCUGGACUGUACCUGACGCUGAGACGCGAAAGCGUGGGUAGCAAACAGG
RNAcentral lists this ribosomal RNA (253 nucleotides) under uncultured bacterium. Its description in RNAcentral is "partial 16S ribosomal RNA". It matches the Rfam family "Bacterial small subunit ribosomal RNA", at positions 524 to 776 of the family's 1533-position model. The record is from RNAcentral.